RNAcentral lists this ribosomal RNA (464 nucleotides) under uncultured bacterium. RNAcentral describes it as "bacterial SSU rRNA". It matches the Rfam family "Bacterial small subunit ribosomal RNA", at positions 331 to 792 of the family's 1533-position model. The record is from RNAcentral.
CCAGACUCCUACGGGAGGCAGCAGUGGGGAAUAUUGGUCAAUGGGAGAGAUCCUGAACCAGCCAAGCCGCGUGAGGGAAGACGGCCCUAUGGGUUGUAAACCUCUUUUGCCGGGGAGCAAAGAGCGGGACGCGUCCCGCCUCGAGAGUACCCGGAGAAAAAGCAUCGGCUAACUCCGUGCCAGCAGCCGCGGUAAUACGGAGGAUGCGAGCGUUAUCCGGAUUUAUUGGGUGUAAAGGGAGCGUAGACGGUGCGCCAAGUCUGGAGUGAAAUGCCGCAGCUUAACUGCGGAACUGCUUUGGAAACUGGCGAACUAGAGUGCGGGAGGGGUAAGCGGAAUUCCUAGUGUAGCGGUGAAAUGCGUAGAUAUUAGGAGGAACACCGGUGGCGAAGGCGGCUUACUGGACCGUAACUGACGUUGAGGCUCGAAAGCGUGGGGAGCAAACAGGAUUAGAUACCCCAGUA